This 253-nucleotide ribosomal RNA is filed under the name uncultured bacterium. RNAcentral's name for it is "partial 16S ribosomal RNA". It matches the Rfam family "Bacterial small subunit ribosomal RNA", at positions 524 to 776 of the family's 1533-position model. The record is from RNAcentral.
UACGGAGGGGGCAAGCGUUGUUCGGAUUUACUGGGCGUAAAGGGCGCGUAGGCGGCUUUGUAAGUUACUUGUGAAAUCUCCGGGCUUAACUCGGAGCGGCCAAGUGAUACUGCAGAGCUAGAGUGUAGAAGGGGCAACUGGAAUUCUUGGUGUAGCGGUGAAAUGCGUAGAUAUCAAGAGGAACACCUGAGGCGAAGGCGGGUUGCUGGGCUAACACUGACGCUGAGGUGCGAAAGCGUGGGGAGCGAACGGG